Molecule: small nuclear RNA, 100 nt
Filed under: Carlito syrichta (Philippine tarsier)
Lineage: Eukaryota; Metazoa; Chordata; Mammalia; Primates; Tarsiidae
Source: RNAcentral
GUGCUUACUUCAGCAGCAUGCUAAAAUUGGAAUGAUACAGAGAUUAGCUUAGCCCCUGUGCAAGGAUGACACAAACAUUUGUGACAUGUUCCGUAUUUUU